CAGGAAUCUUGUUUUGUUAUAGUAUUUGUAGACUUCGUGAUAUUAUGAGUCCUUGUUUAAAUAUAUUUCCGUCUUUGGAUUCUGAAUGUACAUAGGUUUUUUUUUCCUCUUCAUCUAAAUGGAAUAAGGGUAAUCGGGUUAUCGG
This is a non-coding RNA of Arachis ipaensis, 145 nucleotides long. The record is from RefSeq and is a predicted model, not a curated record. NCBI's taxonomy places the organism in Eukaryota, Viridiplantae, Streptophyta, Magnoliopsida, Fabales, Fabaceae.